This 511-nucleotide ribosomal RNA is filed under the name uncultured bacterium. RNAcentral describes it as "bacterial SSU rRNA". It matches the Rfam family "Bacterial small subunit ribosomal RNA", at positions 28 to 535 of the family's 1533-position model. The record is from RNAcentral.
GACGAACGCUGGCGGCGUGCCUAAUACAUGCAAGUCGAGCGGAGUCGAUCGACGGAAGCCUUCGGGCGGAAGAUGGUUGACUUAGCGGCGGAUGGGUGAGUAACGCGUGGGCAACCUGCCUCGAAGACCGGGAUAACAGCCCGAAAGGGCUGCUAAUACCGGAUGUGGUCAAGGAUCCGCAUGGAUUUUUGAUUAAAGGGGAAACCCGUUUCGAGAUGGGCCCGCGUCCUAUCAGCUAGUUGGUGAGGUAAAAGCUCACCAAGGCGACGACGGGUAGCCGGCCUGAGAGGGUGACCGGCCACACUGGAACUGAGACACGGUCCAGACUCCUACGGGGGGCAGCAGUGGGGAAUCUUCCACAAUGGGCGAAAGCCUGAUGGAGCGACGCCGCGUGAGCGAAGAAGGCCUUCGGGUUGUAAAGCUCUGUCUGGAGGGACGAAGGAAGUGACGGUACCUCCGGAGGAAGCCACGGCUAACUACGUGCCAGCAGCCGCGGUAAAAUCAACGUGUA